GACGAACGCUGGCGGCGUGCUUAACACAUGCAAGUCGAACGCUGAAGCUCAGCUUUUGUUGGGUGGAUGAGUGGCGAACGGGUGAGUAACACGUGAGUAACCUGCCUCCUUCUUUGGGAUAACGCCCGGAAACGGGUGCUAAUACUGGAUAUUCACUGGUCUUCGCAUGGGGGUUGGUGGAAAGGGUUUUUCUGGUGGGGGAUGGGCUCGCGGCCUAUCAGCUUGUUGGUGGGGUGAUGGCCUACCAAGGCUUUGACGGGUAGCCGGCCUGAGAGGGGGACCGGUCACAUUGGGACUGAGAUACGGCCCAGACUCCUACGGGAGGCAGCAGUGGGGAAUAUUGCACAAUGGGCGCAAGCCUGAUGCAGCGACGCCGCGUGAGGGAUGGAGGCCUUCGGGUUGUGAACCUCUUUCGCUCAUGGUCAAGCCGCAACAAUGGUUGUGGUGAGGGUAAUGGGUAAAGAAGCGCCGGCUAACUACGUG
RNAcentral lists this ribosomal RNA (483 nucleotides) under uncultured bacterium. Its description in RNAcentral is "partial 16S ribosomal RNA". It matches the Rfam family "Bacterial small subunit ribosomal RNA", at positions 28 to 507 of the family's 1533-position model. The record is from RNAcentral.